RNAcentral lists this ribosomal RNA (407 nucleotides) under uncultured bacterium. Its description in RNAcentral is "partial 16S ribosomal RNA". It matches the Rfam family "Bacterial small subunit ribosomal RNA", at positions 30 to 526 of the family's 1533-position model. The record is from RNAcentral.
AUUGAACGCUGGCGGCAGGCCUAACACAUGCAAGUAGAGCGGAGCGGCGGACGGGUGAGUAAUACCUAGGAAUAUGCCUGGUAGUGGGGGAUAACGUUCGGAAACGGACGCUAAUACCGCAUACUAUCAGAUGAGCUUAGGCCGGAUUAGCUAGUGGGGGGGGUAAUGGCUCACAAAGGCUACGAUCCGUAACUGUUCUGAGAGGAUGAUCAGUCACCCGGGAACUGAGACACGGUCCAGACUCCUACGGGAGGCAGCAGUGGGGAAUAUUGGACAAUGGGCGAAAGCCUGAUCCAGCCAUGCCGCGUGUGUGAAGAAGGUCUUCGGAUUGUAAAGCACUUUAAGUUGGGAGGCGUUACCGACAGAAUAAGCACCGGCUAACUCUGUGCCAGCAGCCGCGGUAAUUC